GAAGGCCUCUGUCUGAAGGUCUCUGUCUGAAGGUCUCUGUCUGAAGGUCUCUGUCUGAAGGCCUCUGUCUGAAGGUCUUUGUCUGAAGGCCUCUGUCUGAAGGUCUCUGUCUGAAGGCCUCUGUACUGAUGAAAGAAAGGUGAGGCAGUAAGGCAGCCAUCUACUGUACUGUAGGGCUGAUGGAAGGAUCCCCAUCCCAACUGUCACUCUCUCUUCGUAAUUACAGCUGUUCAAUGGCUUUUAAUUAGUCUCAAAUUGUGUGCAACACCACUUUCCCUGUAACGCUGCAGGCCAGAGACUCAGAUCCACCGCUCUGACAAAACCAGACGGGAAUGAGAAGCUAAGUGUGGAAAUGGAAUGGUUGGCAGUAGUCGAAGCCAAGCACAAAAGCCCUUUUUUAUUUUUUGAUCACUUUAUUCGAUCCAGCCACCAUAAGGCCUUUAUAACGAUGUUGUAAACAUGUAAUUAUACUUCAUAGUAUGAGUCAUUUUCAAAUGCUAUAAAGCUUUAAAACAUGGUUACAACAUUGUUUUGGAGGGUUGUGCUAGAGGUCAUGGUCGAUAGGAAAAAUUGUGUUACCAAUGUUUUUAUCUACAGUAUGUCGAUGUCCACAA
This is a long non-coding RNA of Esox lucius (northern pike), 614 nucleotides long. The record is from Ensembl. Lineage: Eukaryota; Metazoa; Chordata; Actinopteri; Esociformes; Esocidae.